AUUCACCAUGACACUAGCUCCCAGUGGCCUGAUGAUACAAGACUGCACAUUCUGCUUUGGUUACCUCUGAUGAAGAAAAUCACAGCAAAGACAGUGACCCCACAGAUGGUCCAUCCUCUGACGUCCACGUACACUCAAACCUAUACUGAAGAAAACUCAAGCUCCCAAGUCAAGGUCAACAAGAAAGACCAAUGAUCUCAGCAAAAACUAAAGAGCAUGAGGCCAGAACCAGGAUUCAAUAAACUCCAUCCUCAAGUCUGGCUUUCAAGCCUGAAGCUCCUCCUUUAUCAAGCUUGUGAGUAAAACUAAGUUUUAAUAAAGUAAUGCUGACCUAGUGGC
This is a long non-coding RNA of Felis catus (domestic cat), 339 nucleotides long. RefSeq lists it as uncharacterized. Lineage: Eukaryota; Metazoa; Chordata; Mammalia; Carnivora; Felidae. The record is from RefSeq and is a predicted model, not a curated record. The transcript is spliced from 2 exons.